CUGUUGUGGGGGGUGGGGGGAGCCUGUCCUGUGCCCUAUAGGAGCCCCCUACCCAUUAGAUGCCAGUAGCACCUCCCCCCCAUCAUGGCAACCCAAAAUGUCCCCACAUAUUACAGAUGUCCCCUGGGGGACAACCCUGCUUUGGGUAAGAGGGAAUGGCCCAAAUGGGUCUUGUCUCUGAGCAGGGAGGCCAGGAGGGGAGGGGGUCAGUAUUUCUGAGCUGGGCCGCGCCCCCGCGGGGAGGGCCUGUAAGCAUCUAAGGAGGGGCUGCUUCGAAGCGGGGCCGGGGCGUCUCCCCGGCUGUUCGUCUCCCUGCCACUUCCAGAUGCUGCUCUGUGCCGGGUGCUGGUCCCCAGCGUUGCCUCCGCUCAGCACCCAGCAGCCCCACAAGGGUGUCAACAGAGCAUCAGGAGGCACUGACCCCAGAGCCCCUCCACGUCCCCGGGAACGGCCGGCCCCCCGUCGCCGCCGAGGGCCCUCGACCAGGAUGGACAGCCAGGGGAAGGCUGCUUGUCUCCACGCCUCUCCGACGGCUCUUCUUCCGGCCCCUCCAGCCCAGGUGGAAUCCUUGAAGCUGGAGUCAGGACUGCCGGGCUUGCGGAGACGUGGGCUCCCCAGGAAGUGCUGAGCCCAUGAUCAGAGCUGCACCCCCACAAGAAGUCACCAUGUGGAUCCCCAGAGGGGAUACUCCGGAAGUGCUUCCAUUCGGCCACCAGCAGCUGUGAUGUCCCCUGACCGUGCAUCCUGGGUCCCAGGGGAUGGUGGGUAGGGGAGCCAGGCGAGGAAGUGAGUCACAGCCCUGUGGGGUGAGCUCCCCGAGGGGAAGGGAUUGCGUAGAGUACUUGGGGGAAUUUGUGAGCCUUCAAGCUGGCCUCUGCUGCGACAGGGGCCAGCAGCCUCGUCCGCUCUGUAGUCCACUCCGGCUGCUCCCUGUAGCCAGGGGUGCGGCAUGGCAGGAACAGGCCACAGGGCAAGGGAGGAGUGUGGUGGGCUCAGAAGGCUCUGGGGAGAGGGUGCCUUGCUCCUGGUGCUGAAAGGACAGCGCCCGGCUUGGGCAGAGGCCGCGCCAAGUCCUGGCGGAAGCUUUUCCGCAAACUGGAGUGGGGCGUCAUGUGCAUCUGAAUUUUUCCACUCCUCUUCUCUGGAGCCUGUCAGUGCCGUCUUGGCAAAGAUGGUUUGAGCCUGAAAGCUUUUCCCAUCUAUUUUUAAAUAAAUGGAAUUCCUGUCACUUGCAUGAAAUUCAC
RNAcentral lists this long non-coding RNA (1244 nucleotides) under Sus scrofa (pig). Its description in RNAcentral is "lncRNA (ENSSSCG00035021304.1)". Lineage: Eukaryota; Metazoa; Chordata; Mammalia; Artiodactyla; Suidae. The record is from RNAcentral.